GAUUUUCUUUUUCUUCUUCUCUCUCUUUCGCUUUCUUUCUUUCACAUUCGCUUUCCGUUGUUUUCUCUGCCAACAAACCAUUCAAAACUCUGCAUUUCCAACCGUUUUCAUUUUUCUCCUUCUCUUCUCUUACACUCUCACUUUCAGUUUCAGCUUCGCUUUUUCUCUGCUUCGGAUUUCGGCAUUGUCGUAAGCGGAAAACUGUCAGCGCAAGGUUUCUAGGCUUUUGAGUCCUGUUAUGGCUGGUGAUUCAUUUGUGAUUAUCAAUGGCAAUGGCAAUGGCAUCGCUAAGUCAGAGCCUGAUCCGCAGAGGACCUACCAAGCAGUGGUGAUUGCAACCAGAGAUAUGGGCAUUUCCAAGGAUGGAAAAUUACCAUGGUUUUUACCCACGGAUCUCAAGUUUUUCGACGAUAUCACUACAACAACAACUGAUCCUGGGAAGAAGAAUGCCGUUGUGAUGGGUAGAAAAACAUGGGAGAGCAUCCCUCCUAAGGAAAGGCCUCUUUCCGGUCGCCUUAAUGUUGUUCUGACUCGCUCUGGUAGCUUUGAUAUUGCAACAGCAGAGAAUGUUGUUAUAUGUGGAAGUGUGUCUUCUGCCAUGGAACUGUUGGCUGCUUCUCCUUACUGCCUGUCGAUUGAGAAAGUAUUUCUUACAGGAGGUGGAGAGAUAUUUAGAGAGGCACUUAAUGCACCUGGAUGUGAAGCUGCCCAUAUUACAGAAAUUGAGGCGAGCAUUGAGUGUGACACUUUUAUGCCUCGAAUUGAUACCUCUGUAUUUCAGCCAUGGUAUUCGUCAUUCCCUUUGGUGGAAAACAAUCUCCGAUAUGCUUUCACCACUUAUGUGCGUGUAAGGAGUUCUUCGGAAGAGUCCCCGGGUCAGAAUACGGAACCACUUUUUGAUAAUGGUUCAGGCUCUCUAGAGUUUGAGGUGAAGAAAUUUUCUUUUCUUCCUAAAAUGAUUUAUGAGAGACAUGAGGAGUUUAAGUAUCUUAGGUUGGUUCAAGAAAUCAUUUCUGAAGGCACAUCUAAGGAUGAUAGAACAGGGACUGGUACCUUGUCAAAAUUUGGCUGCCAGAUGAGGUUUAAUCUGCGCAGAAACUUUCCGCUUCUGACAACAAAGAAAGUAUUUUGGCGAGGAGUUGUUGAAGAGCUUCUUUGGUUUAUCAGUGGCUCAACAAGUGCUAAGGUUCUGCAGGAAAAAAGCAUUCAUAUAUGGGAUGGCAAUGCAUCCAGAGAAUACCUUGAUAGCAUUGGUUUGACAGAAAGGGAGGAGGGUGACUUGGGACCUGUUUAUGGGUUUCAGUGGAGGCACUUUGGAGCCAAGUAUACCGACAUGCAUGCUGACUAUUCCGGCCAAGGAUUUGAUCAGCUUUUAGAUGUUAUUAACAAGAUAAAGCAUAAUCCUGAUGAUCGACGGAUCAUUCUCUCAGCUUGGAAUCCAUCUGAUCUUAAAUUGAUGGCACUUCCACCCUGCCACAUGUUUGCGCAGUUCUAUGUAGCGAAUGGGGAGUUAUCGUGUCAGAUGUAUCAGCGAUCAGCCGACAUGGGUCUGGGUGUGCCAUUUAAUAUUGCAUCUUAUGCGCUCCUGACAUGCAUGAUUGCUCAUGUUUGUGACCUUGUUCCGGGUGAUUUUAUCCAUGUUAUCGGGGAUGCUCAUGUUUACCGCAAUCAUGUGAGACCUUUGCAGGAGCAGCUCCAGAACCAACCAAAACCUUUUCCGAUUUUGAAGAUAAACCCAAAGAAGAAAGAUAUAGAUUCUUUUGUGGCUGCUGAUUUCAAGCUCAUAGGAUAUGAUCCUCACCAGAAGAUAGAAAUGAAGAUGGCUGUCUAGGAAUCUUGUGAGAUUCUCAAUCCCUUCUUGAGGCUGUUAUGCUUUCUGAAAUGAGGCAUAACCAUAGGACGUAUAUGGUAAAUUUCUGGUCAAAUAAAAGAAUACUGGUUGGACAUACUUCAAGUUUUACAUGUUACUAUUGGGAAUCCUUUAGUUCCACAUUUGUCGUGGCUCUAAGGUGAUUUAGGUUAACUGCAUUUUCAUUUUUUUUUUCAUAUAGACGUUCUGGUAUACUUUUGAGUUCUGAUGGAUCAGAAAAUUGACGUUUUGAGAUUAGAGGCGUCUUGUGUUGGCUAUUUUAUUGUGAUUCGCCGCCUCCUCCGGCCCCAGCCAAAAAAAAAAAAGAAAGAGGAAAGGAGGGAAUGACCUAGAAUCACUAUCGGAUGUUGCAUUGCUACACCUUUUUUCUGGCAUUGUUUCCUCUUUUGAUACUGUUGGUUGUUUCUUAUUUUUGGUGCUUCUGUAUUGCCAUUUUUCCGUUCUGAUUUGGAGACCAGCGGGGAAACGGGGAAGGGAUGGCUCAAAAAAUUCAUGUUAUGUAUAAAAACCAAAGGUACUUAAAAGAACAUUAUUUAAAUUUUACCAUUUUUUUUCUAAAUUAUCCA
This is an RNA transcript of Cajanus cajan (pigeon pea), 2436 nucleotides long. It is a transcript of the gene named bifunctional dihydrofolate reductase-thymidylate synthase, with no coding region annotated. Lineage: Eukaryota; Viridiplantae; Streptophyta; Magnoliopsida; Fabales; Fabaceae. The record is from RefSeq and is a predicted model, not a curated record.